RNAcentral lists this long non-coding RNA (206 nucleotides) under Elaeis guineensis (African oil palm). RNAcentral's name for it is "long non-coding RNA (EGUI_LNC022170)". The record is from RNAcentral. Lineage: Eukaryota; Viridiplantae; Streptophyta; Magnoliopsida; Arecales; Arecaceae.
AGGGAUAAACAGUUUCUGAUCUAUGAUUUAUGGAGCAUAUAAGAGAUUGAAUGUAAGUACUAAUUAAUUUCAGAUUAGAUAUAAAUUAAUUUAGCUUAAUUGGAUCUAAAAUCUAAGUUAGCUUGGUACAAAAGUCCUAAAAUAUUUGAGAUUGAUAGCCUUUCGAAAUUAUUUCAAAUCAGCUUGAAAUUGGAUUCGAAUCGGAU